Molecule: long non-coding RNA, 516 nt
Filed under: Struthio camelus australis
Lineage: Eukaryota; Metazoa; Chordata; Aves; Struthioniformes; Struthionidae
Description: lncRNA (ENSSCUG00000009122.1)
Source: RNAcentral
GUCAGCACCAGGGGUUACUGCAUUUGGACUAUAGAAGAAAAUGGAUUCUGCUAAAUGACAGAGCAGUCAGAGCAAUGUGAAAAAAGAGGAGGAAUGCAGAAGCCACGAAGGCCCCCAAACCACAGGCGGAGGAAGCGGAGAUGGAUUCAUGCUUCUCGGAAGACAGACAUAGCUGCCCUCAGCAGAGAGACAUUGUCUGCUUCUGGAAUCGGAUCCUAAUCCCCUGUAUUCAGGGCAGAGUAUUAAGAUGGGUAAACCAGGACUGAAAGUGGUUACUUGUGCCAGUUUGUGCCUCACUCAAUCAAUCAAAGAACAAAACAGCACAGAACUUAUGAUGGCCUGGCUUCCACUUCACUGGUCACACUUUUACCAGAUCACGUCUCAUGCCAAGAGGACCUCAUGCUAACAACCUCAUUGUAUUUGAGAGUAGGACCCAGGGCUCUAGGCUCCAUUAUUGCAGUAGCACUCGAUCGCUUGUAUUCCCUCCUAUUAGUUUAGCAUAUACAAUUAUUUUUA